This 253-nucleotide ribosomal RNA is filed under the name uncultured bacterium. RNAcentral's name for it is "partial 16S ribosomal RNA". It matches the Rfam family "Bacterial small subunit ribosomal RNA", at positions 524 to 776 of the family's 1533-position model. The record is from RNAcentral.
UACGUAGGCAGCGAGCGUUGUUCGGAAUUACUGGGCGUAAAGAGUGUGUAGGCGGUGCUCUAAGUUCGGUGUGAAAUCUCCUGGCUCAACUGGGAGGGUGCGCCGGAAACUGGAGUGCUUGAGCGUGGGAGAGGAAAGCGGAAUUCCUGGUGUAGCGGUGAAAUGACGCAGAUAUCAGGAAGAACACCCGUGGCUAAGGCGGCUCUCUGGGACGGUACUGACGCUGAGACGCGAAAGCGUGGGAGCGAACAGG